RNAcentral lists this long non-coding RNA (319 nucleotides) under Vigna radiata. RNAcentral's name for it is "long non-coding RNA (VRAD_LNC013404)". The record is from RNAcentral. Lineage: Eukaryota; Viridiplantae; Streptophyta; Magnoliopsida; Fabales; Fabaceae.
CGCGAGAAAGCUAAGCGGAUUGGUGGCUAAUAGAUUUGGUGGAGGAGAAAGAAACUGCGGAACACAAUGGAAAAAUGGAAAAUAAGAAAAAAUGAAAUGUGCUUGGAAGGUGACUAGAAAAGGAUCCCAAGGAUUCCCUAACCUUGACUUUCAACAAGAAAUUGAUUUUGGGUUUCAGAAAUUCAAUUCCCAUUAAUUUCAAAAGUGAAUAUACAAUGGUGGAACUAUGUAUUUAUAGUGACCCAUAUCCAUGCAAGCUAAAAAUACUAUACAAUGAAGAUAAGAAAUACAAUUAGAGAACACUGAAAAAGGUUUGUUG